This 402-nucleotide ribosomal RNA is filed under the name uncultured Phaeospirillum sp. RNAcentral describes it as "bacterial SSU rRNA". It matches the Rfam family "Bacterial small subunit ribosomal RNA", at positions 355 to 774 of the family's 1533-position model. Lineage: Bacteria; Pseudomonadati; Pseudomonadota; Alphaproteobacteria; Rhodospirillales; Rhodospirillaceae. The record is from RNAcentral.
UGGGGAAUAUUGGACAAUGGGGGAAACCCUGAUCCAGCCAUGCCGCGUGAGUGAUGAAGGCCUUAGGGUUGUAAAGCUCUUUCGUCGGGGAAGAUAAUGACGGUACCCGAAGAAGAAGCCUCGGCUAACUCCGUGCCAGCAGCCGCGGUAAGACGGAGGAGGCUAGCGUUGUUCGGAAUUACUGGGCGUAAAGCGUGCGCAGGUUGUAAGUUCAGUCUGAUGUGAAAGCCCGGGGCUCAACCUCGGAUGUGCAUUAGAUACUGGCUUGCUGGAGGUUGGAAGAGGAGAGUGGAAUUCCCAGUGUAGAGGUGAAAUUCGUAGAUAUUGGGAAGAACACCAGUGGCGAAGGCGGCUCUCUGGUCCACACCUGACACUCAAGCACGAAAGCGUGGGGAGCAAACA